AAACCCAGUUGAUAUUACUACCUUUGAUCAAUGCUCUCUAGAUCUUUUGCCUUUUAUUGAUCCCAGGUUAGUGGCGGCUUUGAAGAAUAUGAGCAUCACUUCACUCUUUCCCGUGCAACUUGCUGUCUGGCAAGAGACUAUUGGACCUGGCUCUUUUGAACGAGACCUUUGUAUAAAUUCACCUACAGGGAGCGGGAAAACUCUUGCUUAUGCCUUACCAAUUGUUCAGAUGCUGUCUACACGUGCUGUUAAAUGUCUUCGGGCACUAGUGGUCUUGCCUACUAGAGACCUUGCUUUGCAGGUCAAAGAGGUCUUCUCUGCUCUUGCACCUG
Molecule: unclassified non-coding RNA, 332 nt
Filed under: Hevea brasiliensis (rubber tree)
Lineage: Eukaryota; Viridiplantae; Streptophyta; Magnoliopsida; Malpighiales; Euphorbiaceae
Source: RNAcentral